GAUGAAGAACGCAGCGAAAUGCGAUACGUAAUGUGAAUUGCAGAAUUCAGUGAAUCAUCGAGUCUUUGAACGCACAUUGCGCCCGCCAGUAUUCUGGCGGGCAUGCCUGUCCGAGCGUCAUUUCAACCCUCGAACCCCUCCGGGGGGUCGGCGUUGGGGAUCGGCCCUUUACGGGGCCGGCCCCGAAAUACAGUGGCGGUCUCGCCGCAGCCUCUCCUGCGCAGUAGUUUGCACACUCGCAUCGGGAGCGCGGCGCGUCCACAGCCGUUAAACACCCCAAACUUCUGAAAUGUUGACCUCGGAUCAGGUAGGAAUACCCGCUGAACUUAAGCAUAUCAAUAAGCGGAGGA
This 350-nucleotide unclassified non-coding RNA is filed under the name soil metagenome. RNAcentral describes it as "partial contains 5.8S ribosomal RNA, internal transcribed spacer 2, and large subunit ribosomal RNA". The stretch from base 1 to 120 matches the Rfam family "5.8S ribosomal RNA", at positions 35 to 154 of the family's 154-position model. The record is from RNAcentral.